UACGUAUGGUGCAAGCGUUAUCCGGAUUUACUGGGUGUAAAGGGAGCGUAGACGGCGGUGCAAGCCAGAUGUGAAAGCCCGGGGCUCAACCCCGGGACUGCAUUUGGAACUGUGCUGCUAGAGUGUCGGAGAGGCAGGCGGAAUUCCUAGUGUAGCGGUGAAAUGCGUAGAUAUUAGGAGGAACACCAGUGGCGAAGGCGGCAUGCUGGACGAUGACUGACGUUGAGGCUCGAAAGCGUGGGGAGCAAACAGG
Molecule: ribosomal RNA, 253 nt
Filed under: uncultured bacterium
Lineage: Bacteria
Description: partial 16S ribosomal RNA
Rfam family: Bacterial small subunit ribosomal RNA
Source: RNAcentral